Molecule: long non-coding RNA, 401 nt
Filed under: Panax ginseng (ginseng)
Lineage: Eukaryota; Viridiplantae; Streptophyta; Magnoliopsida; Apiales; Araliaceae
Description: long non-coding RNA (PGIN_LNC002624)
Source: RNAcentral
UUUAACAAAAUGAGGGUAUAAUCAGGAAUACGAGAUGAAAUAAUAUUACUCACAUACUACAGAGUAUGGAAGAAAAUAUUAUUCCUAUGAAUACUGAACAAAAUAAUAUCUCUUGCGAAUACGAAAAAAAUAAUACCUCUUACCGCAGAAGAAGACUGGAUACUGGAAUAGUGAGGUAGCAGACUUCUCUUAUUCUUUCUCUCUAUAGCUUCUCUCUCUAUAAUUGCUCUUGUGAGUCUUAGUGAAUUGGUGAGAAUGAAAGAAGAAUGAGUUUUUAUUUAUAGGAAAAUAUAGUUUUGAUAAUUGCACAUUUUGGGGCUCGAAAUAUUACAGUAUAAUACCUUCAUCUUUUCCUUCAUUUUUAAUUUAGUCCUGCAAGUAUUAUCAAACUUGCACCACCU